UAUUUUGCACCUAGGUUUAAGCUUGCCUCAAGCAAACAUUUUGCAUCGCCAUACAGCAUAAGUUUAGUUUCAUUAGCUUAAACUUUAAAUCCAAAUAAAGACUUGAAGAUGUACGCAUAAUCUGCACUGUUAUGCAAUCAGCCAUGAAAUUAGCUAGUGUAGACUGUAGUUAAUGUGUUAUUAUGGGUAGUUUAUUCUAUCACAUUAGAUAAUUAGGCAGAUGCUUAAGAAAAAUCCACUGAGGAAUGUGGGAGUACUGUGUUCUUGGAGAUGAUUUUGUGUUCCAAGAAUCUGCUGGAUGGGGUUUCCUGGCUUGUGGCAUAGUUUUGAGUUUAAUCCUUGAAAAUAAUCAGCUAAUUCUGUUGUGGCCUGUGAGGUUAAGAUCUCCAAUGUUUAAGGUUGAAACCUCUAUAAACCUUGAGCUAUUUUUUGGUUCAAUGAAGUUUUUGCAGGCAGGCCUCAUUGGUUAGCAGCAAACUUAUUUGUAUCGUACCUAUUGAGCGUAAUAAGCUAAUUUUGCUGGAUUGAGUAAUUGUUAUUGUAGGCCAUAUCUUGGCAGUGAGCCACAUCACCUAUUCGGCUAUUCAUGCCAUGAGUUUUUGAGAGUCCAAGCCCUUUCUUGAAGAUGAAACUAUAGAAAGUAACUUUUAUGGAGCCCUUCUCAUGGAGCGGAACGAAUUAUCCUUUUUUAUUAGAAGGCUUCUAAAAUGAAACUAUAGAAAGUAACUUUUAUGAAGCCCUUCUCAUGGAGCGGAACGAAUUAUCCUUUUUUAUUAGAAGGCUUCUAAAAAGUUGUAACAUUUUUUUCGAAAUACUGAAAUGCUUCUGGAGUAAAUAGUAUGCACUGUCGUCAAAC
Molecule: long non-coding RNA, 856 nt
Filed under: Nicotiana benthamiana
Lineage: Eukaryota; Viridiplantae; Streptophyta; Magnoliopsida; Solanales; Solanaceae
Description: long non-coding RNA (NBEN_LNC008960)
Source: RNAcentral